Molecule: non-coding RNA, 45 nt
Organism: Schistosoma mansoni
Lineage: Eukaryota; Metazoa; Platyhelminthes; Trematoda; Strigeidida; Schistosomatidae
Source: Rfam
AUCCAGCUGACGAGUCCCAUAUAGAAUGAAAGGCGUGUCCUAGAU